Molecule: ribosomal RNA, 821 nt
Filed under: uncultured Actinomycetes bacterium
Lineage: Bacteria; Bacillati; Actinomycetota; Actinomycetes
Description: bacterial SSU rRNA
Rfam family: Bacterial small subunit ribosomal RNA
Source: RNAcentral
AAAGCCCUUUCGGGGGUAAGUAGAGUGGCGUCCGGGUGAGUAACACGUGGGUAAUCUGCCUUCGGGUGGGGAAUAACUCGCCGAAAGGUGAGCUAAUACCGCAUAAUGCAGCGGCACCAAAUGGUGAUUAGUUGUUAAAGCGGGGGACCCUUCGGGGCCUCGCGCCUGAAGAGGAGCCUGCGGCAGAUUAGCUAGUUGGUGAGGUAAUGGCUCACCAAGGCUUCGAUCUGUAGCUGGUCUGAGAGGACGGCCAGCCACACUGGCACUGACACACGGGCCAGACUCCUACGGGAGGCAGCAGUGGGGAAUUUUGGGCAAUGGGCGCAAGCCUGACCCAGCAACGCCGCGUGAGGGAGGAAAUCCUUCGGGAUGUAAACCUCACAAGCAAGGGAAGAGCGCUACAGGUCUAAUAAGCCUGUAGUCCGACGGUACCUUGCGUAAGCCACGGCUAACUACGUGCCAGCAGCCGCGGUAAUACGUAGGUGGCAAGCGUUGUUCGGAAUUAUUGGGCGUAAAGGGCGCGUAGGCGGCAUGUUAAGUCGGCUGUGAAAGCCUGGGGCUCAACCCCAGAGGGUCGGCCGAUACUGGCAAGCUAGAGUACGGAAGAGGUAGCUGGAAUUCCCGGUGUAGCGGUGAAAUGCGUAGAUAUCGGGAGGAACACCUGAGGCGAAGGCGGGCUACUGGGCCGAUACUGACGCUGAUGCGCGAAAGCCAGGGGAGCGAACGGGAUUAGAUACCCCGGUAGUCCUGGCCCUAAACGAUGGACACUUGGUGUGUCGGGUUAUUCAGUCCCGGCGUGCCGGAGCUAACGCGUUAAGUGU